Molecule: ribosomal RNA, 471 nt
Filed under: uncultured bacterium
Lineage: Bacteria
Description: bacterial SSU rRNA
Rfam family: Bacterial small subunit ribosomal RNA
Source: RNAcentral
GACUAAACGCUGGCGGCGUGCCUAACACAUGCAAGUCGAGCGGGGUAGCAAUACCCAGCGGCAGACGGGUGAGUAACGCGUGGUCAAACCUUCCGUCGAAUGGGGGAUAACUAGCCGAAAGGUUAGCUAAUACCGCAUACGAUCUUUUGAAGGCAUCUUUAAAAGAUGAAAGGAGCAAUUCGUUCAACGACGGGACCGCGUCCCAUUAGCUAGAUGGUGGGGUAAUGGCCUACCAUGGCAACGAUGGGUAGCUGGUUUGAGAGAGCGACCAGCCACACUGGGACUGAGAUACGGCCCAGACUCCUACGGGAGGCAGCAGUGAGGAAUUUUCCGCAAUGGGCGAAAGCCUGACGGAGCGACGCCGCGUGUGGGAAAGAAAGGCCUUCGGUCGUAAACCAACUGUCGAAGGGACGAUGAUGACGGUACCCUUGGAGGAAGCCCGGCUAACUACGUGCCAGCAGCCGCAGUAAG